Molecule: long non-coding RNA, 641 nt
Filed under: Pan troglodytes (chimpanzee)
Lineage: Eukaryota; Metazoa; Chordata; Mammalia; Primates; Hominidae
Description: lncRNA (ENSPTRG00000054096.1)
Source: RNAcentral
GUGAAAAGGCAGAUCUCAUCCGUGUUACUCCAGUUUGGCCAGAAGUAGAAGUUUCCUCUACUUCCAGGGUUUUCAAAUCUCUCAGGCUCUCAGUGGAGAUGACUCCAGUUUCCCUAGUGCACAAAGGUAAACAUAAGAAAGGAAAACUUUUGUACGGUGAAUUUGGCUAAAAAGAAGAAUGACGUCUCUGGGAACUUUUGCUGCUUAAAGGAAUGAGAGCAAAAUCCUGGCAUGACCAUGAUCCUUCACUUCUCAGUGGAACUCGGUGUUUCUGAAUGAAUCACAGUAAAGAAGCAUUACUUGUGGGAUGUGGCCAACCUUUCUGUUCAGCUUUUAUUGCAGAGCUGAUGGCAACAGCUGGACUUUACAAAGGUGAUGGUGGCUCAAAGCCUUUCUGUUCCACUGUGUCUCAUAAAGCUUUUAUGAAGCCUCAGUCAUCUCUUCAGCAGAUCCUGUGUCAUGAAGAAGGAUGCAGAGAACACAAGGAGCACCCCAUCCAUGGUGCAUCCCAGUAUAUUCAUCUGCUACUUAAAGGUCUUGGAAGGAGGAAGAAAGAAAACCUCCAGGAAGUCUUCUGGGUGACUUCAGCAACAAUUGCAUUACCCUUUUCCAGGGUAAAGGAGGGAAGAAGAGAAGUCUGA